UCACCAAGUGUUGGAUUGUUCACCCACCAA
RNAcentral lists this small nuclear RNA (30 nucleotides) under Arabidopsis thaliana (thale cress). Its description in RNAcentral is "snRNA_08962". The record is from RNAcentral. Lineage: Eukaryota; Viridiplantae; Streptophyta; Magnoliopsida; Brassicales; Brassicaceae.